ACAGAUGGCUGGGGCCAGGUACUGGCAGAGGCUAGGCUUGAGAUGCAGUGACCCUGUCGUUCAUUCCCUGGGAUUGCAGGGAGAGGGGGCACAAAAGACUCUGCCCUCCCUCAGCAUCCUCCAAGUAUGUUCUUUUGUUUUCUGAUCAGUUAUGAGGAGUCCAACCCUAAAGAUCCAGCAGCCGAGACUGAAUCCAAAGAGGAGUCAACAGAGGCGUCGGCAUCGAAGAGGCUAGAGAAGAAGGAGAAAUGAGGCAGCGCUGCCUGACCCUUGAGGGCCAGAUCGGACAGGCAGGGGAUGACCUGUGGGCGACACAGAAGAGAAGACACCUGCAGGAGGCGACGGUGGCCCCAGGAUGGGGAGCAGGCCUCUGCUGCCUGUUCCCUCUGCCCUUUCUCUGGCUUCCUCUGCUCCUCCUCAUCCCUGCAGGCAAAGGAAACCCUCUGCUGCUUCCUUCCCCAGGAGCCAGGUGGGCACUGAAUGUGGUUUUUAGAUUUUUGUAUUGUGGACUGUCUUUGCCUCAUAUUAAAAACUCAUCCCAUGGCCGCUAGGCCACCGUGCUCCAAGGGAGCUCUCAGCAGCUCUGCCUAGUGUUUCGUGCUGAACUCAUCGGGGCUUUGCGAGUACCUUCGUGGGUGCCAGGCCAGAAGUGGGUUCCCAUGAGCCUCCUUUCCCAGCCACUCCUGGGGGACAGUGAAGGUGGUGGGCGAGUGCUUGCUGCGCCCCGCUGGCCUUGGUAUGAGAUGAAGAGAGUGUCACGGGGCACCCCGCUUCAGCAAAGGGACUUGUAACUAUGGACAGACGGCUCCCUGGGCUUGCUGUCCAUCUGGCUGGAAAUCAAAGGUCCAUCUUUUCCAUCCCCAGGUCUCCCAAAAUACAGCUCAGGUCUUCAGAAAGCCUGCCCUGGGGAGGGAGCAGAUUCCAGAGAACAGAAGAGGCCAUCCAAGGUCAGGCAAGAGUUAGAGAUCCCAAAGCCAAAGUCUCCCUCCCUCCUGACCUUCAAGCGAGUCCCUAAAGGGCAAGGAGAGGGCAGCUCAUCCCUCGUCCACCUGCCCAGGUGGAAAAACUGAGACUGUGGAAUGGCCAUGACCUGUGAGCUUUCCCUGGCUAGGGUUCAGGGUUAAUGACUAAAAUGAACAGAUUGGAAAUGGUCAGAGAGCAAAGGCUGUCCAGAGCCUGGGGAAUAAGAGUGGAGGGAGGUGAGUGUCCCCAGUUUCAGAUGUAGACCAGGUGUGUCGAUGCAAGCUUCGGAUCUGUACUUCGGAUGCUAAGCUGCGCGUGCUUUAGCCUCGCUCUACAGAGGAGGGAAUGGGGCCGCUCACCCCCAGACAGUGACUGCAGCUCAACAUACUAAGCACUGUGCUGUCCUCUUAUAGGACCAAGAAGUCACUGUGGCUGCUCUGCUGGGCCACCGAGUCAGCCACCCAACUUCUCUGGGUCUAAAAGUCUGGAGAGGAAAGCCUGAAAGGCUCUCUAGGCAGGGGGUCUCUUUAGGGCCUUCUUGGAUCUCUGCAGGCUUGUACUGCCUUCAGGGGGAGGCCAUGUGGUCCUGGAACAAAGCCCCUCUGAGGGUGGCAGAUGGGGCAGGCAGCCCAGGCACACAGUGUGGUUGGCUCAACAGCCCACAGCCCACAAAGGCCUCAUUGAGUCACUGCCGACCCCCAGCAGAGGCUGAGGUGGCAGUGGCGCCGGGCGCCUGCCACCUAAUGACCGUCCUGGCUGGGCCAGAUGUUCCACAGACCUUGCAGCGCCGAUCAGGGCCUGCCUGGCCAAGCAGCCACAGAGGCCACUCCAGUUCCAAUUAACCAGCUUCAGCUGAGCAAACCACGGGCAGCAGCGGGGCCCAGCCUGGGCGGUGGGCCCGGCCCGGCCCGGCCGGCCGGCAGAGCCUCUGAGUCUAGACUCCAGAUGUGAACCGCCACCGCCUGAGCCCCAUGGAAAAAUGGCACCAGGCCGGGCGCGCAUCAGGCCUGCAUACUGGGAGGCGGGAUGGGUGGCUGGGCAGGGCCUCAGAUGGGACUGGUGCCAGGCUCACCCUGGAGUGGGGGUGGAUUCUUCGGAAGCUGCUUUCAAACAGAUUUCCCCUGGUUUGUGGUGUCCUCUCUGUGCCUUGGUUUUUCCAGUAGGAGGAGGCUGUUAGGGCUUAAGACCAUCCCUGCAAGAAACCCCAUACUCUAUACAUGCUUACCGGGUUAGCAUGUGGCCAGCAUUGUAGAGUGUUCUAGAAGUUCUUGACUAUCCCUGUGUGGAAUAUGCCUGCCAUCCCAGCACUUGUAGAGGCAGCAAGCUGAGAUAAGCCUUGUCUACAUAGCAAGUUUCAGGUCAGCCAGCGCUCCAAGAUAAGAAUUAGCUUAAAAAAUUAAAAAAAAAAAAAGCCAGAUUGAUCCAUACUGGUUUGUGACUAAUCUUGAACCCGGGAGACUUAAGACAGGAUGAUCAAUUCAAAGUCCCCCUUGGCUACAAAGAGUUCAAAGCCAGAGCCUGCCUCUAGCCAAGUGGAGAGAUUAAUUGUAACAAUCCUAUAUGGCACCUACCAUCAUCUUCACAGAUAAGGAAUGGCAAGCAGGUCUGCACUGACCUGCCGGUGUUUGACCUUAGUGCCUGGCUUAUCUAAACUCAUGUUCACCACUGUGCUGAAUUCCUGUUUCUUGUCUUUGGGGACAGCAUAGGGAUUAUGGGGACAGGGAGAGGAUGACAAUGGAUGGCUUCCAGGAUGAGAUGGCAGUGUCCUGACAUCUGAUCCCUUUCUUCAGCUAAAAGAGGUGAGAGCAUCCUCUCACCCAGUUGCCCUUUGGAAAGUCUUUCUGUUUCCAUGCAGUGUCAGACACCAGCUAAGUUGAUAAGGACCUAACAGGGAGCACAAAUGGUGGCUCUCCGGAGCUGACAUCCUGCAAGAUGGCAUUCCUCUGGGGAGACUGACGGAAAUGACUGGGUGGAUGUGCCAAGAGAUGAUGCCACAGGAGAUGGGACUCCUGCCCCGGUCCUGGUGGGCAAAGCAAGGGUCUGUGCCAUCCAGCUGCCCUUGCACAAAACGACAAACUCAGUGCUCCCGCCACCACCCCAGGAAAAAAAAAGCCAGGCUGGCAGGGGUCUCUGCGGCAGCCUGCGCCUCCUUCCUGUUCUCCAACUAUGGACUCCCCGCGUGACUGCCGGCCACGGGAGGAGCGGCAUCCUGCGGGGUGCGCCAGGAAGGGCCUUGCAAGCGGGAAGGAAAGCGCCACCUCUCUCGCCCCCGCCAAGGCCACACCUGGGCUCCGCAGGCGGUAGCGCCGGGCCAGCGCCUGGCUCCAGCGAGUCUGGGCCGCCCUCCCUACGCACUGCGGGGGCCGCCAGCUGGGCUGGUCGCUCGCGCAGCUCCGCGGCCGGAAGCUGUUCACUGGGGGGCGUGGUCCGUGUUGGUCCCACCCAGGAGGGCAGGGUCACUGUAGCCCAAGGACAAGCUUUGGAAUUUCGGCUGGCUUUACAGUCUCCAUUUGUGUUUUUCUUUCCUCCCAGUCCCAGGGGACCGAACCGUGCUAAGUGAGCGCUAUAUCACUGAGCUGUAUCCCCGAAACCCUUCACUUCGAUGUUCUUACCUAGAAAAUGAGGGAAUUGUACCCCACCCCCAACACCUGGCCCAGUGCAAAAUCAUGCCGGCACUGUGUGUGUUAAAUGAAUGCAUGCGAAGGUCUAAAACCUCCCUGAGGCCUGGCGUUGUCUUGGGCAAAAAGCUCCCCGCAGAUGAGGAAUCCUUUGUUUCAUCCCUGAGCUGCGUUUUCCUCAGUCAGUGGUGGCUGAGAAGAAACAGUCCUCGGAAAACAUGGACACCUAGAAUAUCCUCCGUAAAAGAUAUGGAAGAGUCUCCAAGAUGGGGCGGGGGGGGGGGGGGGGGAAUGUGGUAGCAUACUCCUGCAAUCCUAAAACCCGAGAGUAAGGCAGGAGGAUCGAGAGUAAGGCAGGAGGAUCGUCUAGAGCCAGCUCCUGAUGCAGAUUUCAAGGCUAGUUUGGGCUACAUAAGAUCCUGUUGUCUCAAAACUGAUAUAUUUGGAGGUAAAAAUGCUC
RNAcentral lists this long non-coding RNA (4041 nucleotides) under Mus musculus (house mouse). RNAcentral's name for it is "long non-coding RNA chr2:152704472-152708513". Lineage: Eukaryota; Metazoa; Chordata; Mammalia; Rodentia; Muridae. The record is from RNAcentral.